AUACGGAGGGUGCGAGCGUUAUCCGGAUUUAUUAGGUUUAAAGGGUGUGUAGGCGGGAGCCUAAGUCAGUGGUGAAAUCUCACAGCUUAACUGUGAAACUGCCAUUGAAACUGGGUUUCUUGAGUAUAGUUGAGGUAGGCGGAAUGUGUAAUGUAGCGGUGAAAUGCAUAGAUAUUACACAGAACACCGAUUGCGAAGGCAGCUUACUAAGCUAUUACUGACGCUGAUGCACGAAAGCGUGGGUAGCGAACAGGAUUAGAUACCCUAGUAGUCC
Molecule: ribosomal RNA, 274 nt
Filed under: uncultured bacterium
Lineage: Bacteria
Description: partial 16S ribosomal RNA
Rfam family: Bacterial small subunit ribosomal RNA
Source: RNAcentral